GAAACUAGAAAGAAGCUUCAUGAUUGAGGCUCUUUUAGCACCUCCAUGAUUGAGCUGCUUCACUUAUCGCCUCUGUUGUUAAUCUUAUUCUUCCUUCUGAUAGACAAGGCUCAGUUUUCCUUUUGUUCGGAGAGUUUGUAUAGCUCAACGAUGUCGUAGAUGGUCAAUAAGCACGCAUGUUAACAUGCAUGUUAACAAAGAAGGAAGGUGAUGAGGAGAAGUCAAUAGAAGAGGGAGGGAGUCAAGGAGGAGGAAUUGGCGACCGCAAUUUACGCGAUGAGGACCAGAAAAGCUGCAGACGACGACGAUAGCGGGGCCUGCUGGAUGGUGUCGGUUGUCGUCGCGCCUCUCUCUCUCUCUCUUCUCCAUUUCAUAACUGUUGUGAUGGGGAAAGAGAAAGCCGACGAGUUACGUAAACGCGUGUUUGGUUCGUGCAGACAAUAGCGUGGGCAAACAGUUGCACAUUCAUUGAAGGGGAAGUGGGAGCCAACUAAGGAGAAGGAGGUCAACCUUCUCACCCUCGAUCAUGACGAUGAUGAUGGUGGUCGUGAUCGCAUGUCCAUCGCCUAUACA
RNAcentral lists this long non-coding RNA (573 nucleotides) under Musa acuminata (dwarf banana). Its description in RNAcentral is "long non-coding RNA (MACU_LNC003043)". Lineage: Eukaryota; Viridiplantae; Streptophyta; Magnoliopsida; Zingiberales; Musaceae. The record is from RNAcentral.